AAGUCGUAACAAGGUUUCCGUAGGUGAACCUGCGGAAGGAUCAUUAUCGAGUUUUUGAAAGAGGUUGUAGCUGGCCUUUUCGGGGCAUGUGCACGCCUUGCUCAAUUUCAAUACACACCUGUGCACACUUUGUAGGUUGGGGUCGGUGAAGAGGAGAUAUAAAUUUAUUUAAUCUCCUUUAAGCUGUGAUACCUUCCUAUGUUUUUAUUAUAAGCUCCUCCUGUUUGUAUCUGAAUGGACUUUGCGCUCUUAUUAUAACGCAUUAUAAAUAUAACUUUCAGCAACGGAUCUCUUGGCUCUC
Molecule: unclassified non-coding RNA, 301 nt
Filed under: fungal sp.
Lineage: Eukaryota; Fungi
Description: partial internal transcribed spacer region
Rfam family: Eukaryotic small subunit ribosomal RNA (bases 1-46)
Source: RNAcentral